CUCGGUGCUCUGGGCUCCCACCCAGGCCAGGGGGCGGUGCCUGCCCCAGCCCCUCCCACUUCCCCUGUCUCUGUGUUUCCAUCCCUUUCUUCACUGGAGGCCCUGGCCACAGGCAACCUGCAGACGGGGCUACUGGCAACCCUCCCCCCCCUCCCCGGCUCGGUUGGAGCCCUGCACAGCAGUGGUUAGCUCACAGGCUCCGAGACUGACCAUGUCAGUCGGAUUCGGAUCCUGGCUCUGUAUUCUAGGAACUGUGCAGCUUGGAGCAAGUAACUUGCUACCAUGUCCUCUUCCGGGAAAUGGAGUUUCGCAGAGUGCCUGGCUGGCACACAGACCGUGCCCCACACAGGAAGAAUGAUGCAGGUGAAGCCCACAAUUAAUGCACAGCCCCAGCCACACAGUGUCCCAGAGCUUCAGUUGGUGAGAAGGAACACAAGCCAAGGUCGUACAAGGGGACAGCAAGGGGUUCCACUCUCAUCCCUUCCUACGUCUUGCUGGCCACACCAAGGGAGAGACUGGUUUUCAGUAGCACAGCUGUGGGUGACAGAGGAGGUGUGUCAAUCCUAAUUCACUACUUCCUCUCUAGAGCCCCUGAGAGGAUCCCAGCUCUAAAAUGGACAAUUACAACUGGAGACAGAGGUCAGGAGAUACAGUGCAGCAAGAAACCAGGUUGGGAAAUCUUAGCUCCAAGAAGUAGAAGAGGAGAGUCCAUUGGUUUCUGAGGUAAAGGGGUGCAAGGAAGCCACUGAAGUGGGGAAUUCAGGGGGAAAUGCAGGGAGCAGUGGGU
RNAcentral lists this long non-coding RNA (787 nucleotides) under Ursus maritimus (polar bear). RNAcentral's name for it is "lncRNA (ENSUMAG00000016191.1)". The record is from RNAcentral. Lineage: Eukaryota; Metazoa; Chordata; Mammalia; Carnivora; Ursidae.